UGUUUGUCUACCUUCCUAAAUCUGAAAAAAGGGCUACUGGGCAGAAGGGCUGGGAGCUGAUGUACAUUUUCUUUCUCAGGAAGUUGGAGUGCACAUGGCUGGAACUGUUCAGAGCACUCUAUGUAAGCCAUAAAAAUUCAAGAGUCAGAAGCAAGCUGUUCUUCCUGAUGAGACCAAAUGAUGUACUCUGCCUUUGAAGAAGCUGUAAUUACAGAAGAGCCUGGCAGCACUUUCCUGUGCUGGUAAUGGAUAUAUCAGCACUUCCACAAACUCCCUUGUGAGGGAUUUACAGCUCUGCCAUUCAUAUUAGCCCCACACUGGAUGUAUAAACUGCUUGCCCAAAAGUAUUAAAAAAUAGUUUUAAAACAGCGUAUCAAAUUUUGGUAGACCUUGUCUAGAAGCAAACUUGCACUGGUUUGAUAAAGACUGAUUUUUAACCUAAGUGGGUUAGAGUAUUACAUAUUUGUGUGUAGUUGCUCAUAUCUGGCUUGAGGAUGACUUAUUUCAGCGUAUUCUAACAAUAAAUCAGAGUUUAAGCAGAAAUUCUGUAAGGAUUCCUUCUUCAUGCAGAGCAUCCCCUCUGCUGAACAGGUCUGGUAUAUAAUGGGGUAAAUAAAACAAGCUUCUGAUCAAACAGGUGAGGGGCAGGACACAAAACCAGUAAGGAUUUAGACAAACUGGUUCUGAAGAUCAUUUUGAGGAGCUAAAAUGCUACAGA
RNAcentral lists this long non-coding RNA (718 nucleotides) under Ficedula albicollis (Collared flycatcher). RNAcentral describes it as "lncRNA (ENSFALG00000026100.1)". The record is from RNAcentral. Lineage: Eukaryota; Metazoa; Chordata; Aves; Passeriformes; Muscicapidae.